Molecule: long non-coding RNA, 433 nt
Filed under: Mytilus galloprovincialis (Mediterranean mussel)
Lineage: Eukaryota; Metazoa; Mollusca; Bivalvia; Mytilida; Mytilidae
Source: RNAcentral
UAGUUUAAACAAUAUUUAUUCAGAUAAAUCAACAUUAAACAUAUUAUACAAUGAAAUAAUAUUAAGGAUUCAGAAACAAGCAAUUUGCUUUUACAAAUCUGUCUCCCUUUACAGACAUAAUACACUUAUUGAACAAUACAUAAAUAUAAAUACUGGCAUGCUCUGUAAUAAAUAUAUGAAUAUGAAAAAGGUGAAAAAGGAAGAAAAAAAAAUUCAUGAGAAAAAUAAAAUAAAAAUAAUAAUAAAUAAACGGGAAUUAUUGUAAUGUAUACAGUGUGAAAUGCUUGGGUUCCUAUUGAGUGAUGAGGCAUUAACAUCAAGGGUUAAAACGUUUACUUUUAAUAAUAUAUUUUUGCACCAAACUGAAUAAAAUACUAUUUUGCUCAUCUGAGAGUACCGUUGAUCCAAAAAGCAAAGUUUUUGUGUUUACUUG